GCACUUUCCCCUGAGCUCUCUGCUCAGCUCCCUCACGCGCUGCCCACAGAGUGAGGCUGGAAGACGAAAUAUGACGUCAUAUCACUCUGUGGGCGGCACGCGAGGGAGCUGAGCAGAGAGCUCAGGGGAAAGUGC
Non-coding RNA from Pelobates cultripes (western spadefoot toad), 135 nucleotides. The record is from the annotation of a GenBank genome assembly. NCBI's taxonomy places the organism in Eukaryota, Metazoa, Chordata, Amphibia, Anura, Pelobatidae.